UCCACUACUCUAGCCCUAACCCAACCCCAGACUCCAGAACCCUCGCUCUGCCUCUCUCACACUCAGUCCAGAGCUCUUCUCAUCGGGCUCCUGGUCAUCCGUCACUCCCUUCCAGCCACCGCCUGCUACUGCCGCCGUCGGAACUUCCAGCUUCAAACAGCCACCACCUUCUCCCUCACUUCCCCUCCAUCAUGCAGCGGCCAUCGCAACCUUCCUAACCCUCCAUCGCGCUGCUCCCUUGCAAACGUGGAGGCCUCCAUCGCGCAACCACGGUUCUGCCGACGCCAGCUCUGUUCCACCGUAGCCACUGUCCUGUUCCAAAGCCUGUUCGAAGUUGCUCCUUGUCUCGGUCUCUCCCUCUUGCAUGCUCUGUUUAAGACUUUAAGGCUUCUAGCUUCUAGUUUCAAUAGGAAGCAGAUAUAAAAAGCAGACCUUUCAAGUUUGUGUGAGUUGCUGUCCAUGUCCUGGAACCAAAAAUAAAAAAUCAAAGAAAUAGAAAAGAAGCAGGUAGAUCAUAUUUUCAAGUUUCAACUAAAAUUACUACCAGGGUUAUGUCUAUUUGAAAGAAGUUACUUACUUCACAUCAAGCAUGGGUUCAAGGCAUUGGUUUAAGAUAAUCUUUCGAUUAAGAAAAUAAAAACAAAGUAGAUCAAAGAAAUCAAAGGUACAGCACACUUUCUUUGUGUCAAUUUUACCUUCAUUAAUAACUCAUCCUAGUCCAGGAUUUCAUUGUAUGAGAGUCAAAAUGAUUAUGUAAAACUAUGUAGUACCACUAUGUAGAGAGAUUUGAAGUUCAUGUAUGUCUUACUACCAAAAAGGCCGAUACAAAUGUAGUACCACUAUGUAGUAUCACUUUGUUUAUUUAUAUUUUAUUAUAAAACGGUUUUUACGGUUCAACCACGAUUCAACCGGUUGAACCUAUGAACCAGUGAACCAGUAACUAGAAAGAAAUCUCUGUAUACAUGUUGAUCUGUAUACUAUAAUUCUUCUUCUAAAUAACAUCAUGCAAAGAAACUUUUUUUUUUCAA
Molecule: long non-coding RNA, 1028 nt
Organism: Arachis duranensis
Lineage: Eukaryota; Viridiplantae; Streptophyta; Magnoliopsida; Fabales; Fabaceae
Exons: 4
Source: RefSeq, a predicted model, not a curated record